Molecule: non-coding RNA, 29 nt
Filed under: Mus musculus (house mouse)
Lineage: Eukaryota; Metazoa; Chordata; Mammalia; Rodentia; Muridae
Source: RNAcentral
UACAAUAAAUAUGGAAGUUGGGUUUCUCA